UACGAAGGGGGCUAGCGUUGCUCGGAGUCACUGGGCGUAAAGCGCACGUAGGCGGAUUGCUAAGUCAGGGGUGAAAUCCUGGAGCUCAACUCCAGAACUGCCUUUGAUACUGGCGACCUUGAGUCCGGGAGAGGUGAGUGGAACUGCGAGUGUAGAGGUGAAAUUCGUAGAUAUUCGCAAGAACACCAGUGGCGAAGGCGGCUCACUGGCCCGGUACUGACGCUGAGGUGCGAAAGCGUGGGGGGCAAACAGG
This 253-nucleotide ribosomal RNA is filed under the name uncultured bacterium. RNAcentral describes it as "partial 16S ribosomal RNA". It matches the Rfam family "Bacterial small subunit ribosomal RNA", at positions 524 to 776 of the family's 1533-position model. The record is from RNAcentral.